AAACCCUAAUAUCCUCCUUCAUUUUUUCUGAUUUUCGCCCACCUUCAUUCCUCAGUUCCUCUACUUCCUCACCAAAACCCUUCAUUUCCUCACUUCCUCCCUCAUCACCUCACUCCGGCCACCGUAUCUCACCACAAUAUCUCACUCCGGCCACCAUACCUCAAUUCUUUCCUUCAGUUUCAGUGUCUCCUUGUUCCAAUCUUAGUUCCUUUCUUUAGAUCUGGUGUUCGUAGACUUCGUACUCCCUCAAAUCCGCGACGCGCCACCACCUUGUCAAUUUCAUCACUCACCACCACCUCCCUCACAACCGCAACAGUCUGUCACGGCCCCUUACCACCGCUCGUCCGCCGUUCUACUCUCACUACAGCACUCAAAGGAAGUUGAGGAGCUUGGAGCUGCCAAGUUAAUUGAAGGCUUGAAGUUUCCAUGUUUACUGUUAUUAAAUUUUAAGUCCUUUCUUAUGUUUGUAACUUAAUUUUAAUGGCUGAACAUUUUUUUUUUUAAUUAUGUUUAUUUCUUAAAUUUGGCCAAUAUCAAGCCUCAAGACAUAUUAUAUUAUUAUGGACUGAAUUUUUUAAAAAGAAACUUAUUAUGGACUGGACUA
Long non-coding RNA from Chenopodium quinoa (quinoa), 604 nucleotides. RefSeq lists it as uncharacterized. The record is from RefSeq and is a predicted model, not a curated record. NCBI's taxonomy places the organism in Eukaryota, Viridiplantae, Streptophyta, Magnoliopsida, Caryophyllales, Amaranthaceae. The transcript has 2 exons.